RNAcentral lists this transfer RNA (94 nucleotides) under Rubripirellula tenax. Its description in RNAcentral is "Planctomycetes bacterium Poly51 tRNA-Lys". The record is from RNAcentral. Lineage: Bacteria; Pseudomonadati; Planctomycetota; Planctomycetia; Pirellulales; Pirellulaceae.
UCGAAAUGGCUCAGGAAUUGUUGGAGUCGAUCGAGUCUUCAUCGAUCGGUUAGUCGCUGGUCGAUCGGCACUGGUGCUAGUUCGGUGUCGUGAA